Molecule: ribosomal RNA, 371 nt
Filed under: uncultured organism
Description: bacterial SSU rRNA
Rfam family: Bacterial small subunit ribosomal RNA
Source: RNAcentral
CGAAGGUGCAAGCGUUACUCGGAAUUACUGGGCGUAAAGCGUGCGUAGGUGGUGAGUUAAGUCUGUCGUGAAAGCCCCGGGCUCAACCUGGGAAUGGCGAUGGAUACUGGCUCGCUAGAGUGCGGUAGAGGAGAGUGGAAUUCCCGGUGUAGCAGUGAAAUGCGUAGAGAUCGGGAGGAACAUCAGUUGCGAAGGCGGCUCUCUGGACCAGCACUGACACUGAGGCACGAAAGCGUGGGGAGCAAACAGGAUUAGAUACCCUGGUAGUCCACGCCCUAAACGAUGCGAACUGGACGUUGGGAGCAACUAGGCUCUCAGUGUCGAAGCUAACGCGUUAAGUUCGCCGCCUGGGGAGUACGGUCGCAAGACUG